AUGAGGCUCAUCGCAUGGAACUGUUGGGGAUUGGGGAACGGCCCGACAGUUAAAGGACUUCUGGAUAUACAGAAGAAGGAGGCCCCAGAUAUUCUCUUUUUGUCAGAAACAAAACUUGAUGAAAGGAGGAUGGAGUGCUUCAGAUGGAAAUUAGGACUGACUAAUAUGGUGGUAAAAAAUUGUGAAGGGCGGAGUGGAGGUUUGGCGCUGUUUGGGAGGAAUGGUAUUCAAGUGAAGGCGGGAUUAAAAUCUAGGUACCACAUCGAUGCGGAGAUCACAUGGGAAGAUGGGUUUCAGUGGAGGUUGACAGGCAUAUAUGGUGAAUCACAUCAUGAUAACAAGGAGGUUACAUGGAAACUUCUCAAGACCAUUCAACAUCACAGCGACAAGCCAUGGCUGUGUGCAGGUGAUUUUAAUGAGGUGUUAAUGGGAUGGGAGAAGGAAGGAGGGGCAGUCCGGCCUCAGCGGUGUAUGGAUAGGUUAGAGGAAACUCUGGAGGAAUGUGCGCUUCAUGAUUUAGGCUUUGUGGUGGACAUGUUCACAUGGAGAAAUCAUAAUCAGAAUGAAGCUAGUUAUAUUAGAGAAAGAUUGGAUAGGGAUGUGGCCUCGCAGACAUGGUGUGAUCAUUUCCUACAUAUCGUGUAG
Molecule: ribosomal RNA, 645 nt
Filed under: Triticum aestivum (bread wheat)
Lineage: Eukaryota; Viridiplantae; Streptophyta; Magnoliopsida; Poales; Poaceae
Description: partial small subunit ribosomal RNA
Source: RNAcentral